Molecule: ribosomal RNA, 431 nt
Filed under: uncultured bacterium
Lineage: Bacteria
Description: partial 16S ribosomal RNA
Rfam family: Bacterial small subunit ribosomal RNA
Source: RNAcentral
AACGAACGCUGGCGGCAGGCUUAACACAUGCAAGUCGAGCGCCCCGCAAGGGGAGCGGCAGACGGGUGAGUAACGCGUGGGAACGUACCCUUAUCGUCGGGAUAGCUCCGGGAAACUGGAAUUAAUACCGAAUGUGCCCUUUGGGGGAAAGAGUUAUCGGACAAGGAUCGGCCCGCGUUGGAUUAGCUAGUUGGUGGGGUAAAGGCCUACCAAGGCGACGAUCCAUAGCUGGUCUGGGAGGAUGAGCCGCCACAUUGGGACUGAGACACGGCCCAAACCCCUACGGGAGGGAGCAGUAGGGAAUAUUGGACAAUGGGCGCAAGCGUGAUCCCGCCAUGCCGCGGGAGUGAUGAAGGCGUUAGGAUUGUAAAGCCCUUUCAGCGGAGAAGAUAAUGACGGUAUCCGGAGAAGAAGCCCCGGCUAACUUCGUG